UACAGAGGUCUCAAGCGUUGUUCGGAUUCAUUGGGCGUAAAGGGUGCGUAGGUGGCGUCGUAAGUCGGGUGUGAAAUUUCGGAGCUUAACUCCGAACUGCAUUCGAUACUGCGGUGCUUGAGGACUGGAGAGGAGACUGGAAUUUACGGUGUAGCAGUGAAAUGCGUAGAGAUCGUAAGGAAGACCAGUGGCGAAGGCGGGUCUCUGGACAGUUCCUGACACUGAGGCACGAAGGCCAGGGGAGCAAACGGG
This 252-nucleotide ribosomal RNA is filed under the name uncultured bacterium. RNAcentral's name for it is "partial 16S ribosomal RNA". It matches the Rfam family "Bacterial small subunit ribosomal RNA", at positions 524 to 776 of the family's 1533-position model. The record is from RNAcentral.